Molecule: ribosomal RNA, 622 nt
Filed under: uncultured Bacillus sp.
Lineage: Bacteria; Bacillati; Bacillota; Bacilli; Caryophanales; Bacillaceae
Description: bacterial SSU rRNA
Rfam family: Bacterial small subunit ribosomal RNA
Source: RNAcentral
CACUGGAGUUGGCUACCAAGGCGACGACGGGUAGCCGGCCUGAGAGGGUGACCGGCCACACUGGGACUGAGACACGGCCCAGACUCCUACGGGAGGCAGCAGUGGGGAAUAUUGCACAAUGGGCGAAAGCCUGAUGCAGCAACGCCGCGUGAGGGAUGACGGCCUUCGGGUUGUAAACCUCUUUUAGUAGGGAAGAAGCGAAAGUGACGGUACCUGCAGAAAAAGCACCGGCUAACUACGUGCCAGCAGCCGCGGUAAUACGUAGGGUGCAAGCGUUGUCCGGAAUUAUUGGGCGUAAAGAGCUCGUAGGCGGUUUGUCGCGUCUGCUGUGAAAUCUGGGGGCUCAACCCCCAGCCUGCAGUGGGUACGGGCAGACUAGAGUGCGGUAGGGGAGAUUGGAAUUCCUGGUGUAGCGGUGGAAUGCGCAGAUAUCAGGAGGAACACCGAUGGCGAAGGCAGAUCUCUGGGCCGUAACUGACGCUGAGGAGCGAAAGCAUGGGGAGCGAACAGGAUUAGAUACCCUGGUAGUCCAUGCCGUAAACGUUGGGAACUAGAUGUGGGGACCAUUCCACGGUCUCCGUGUCGCAGCUAACGCAUUAAGUUCCCCGCCUGGGGAGUACGG